UAAGGAGUAGUAUAAGGGGAGUACAGAGAGUUUUGAUCUCUCAGGUAUAGGUUCGAUUCCUAUUUCUUUAA
This 71-nucleotide transfer RNA is filed under the name Rana cf. chensinensis QYCRCCH_C. RNAcentral describes it as "tRNA-Gln". It matches the Rfam family "tRNA". Rfam says of the family: Transfer RNA (tRNA) molecules are approximately 80 nucleotides in length. Their secondary structure includes four short double-helical elements and three loops (D, anti-codon, and T loops). Lineage: Eukaryota; Metazoa; Chordata; Amphibia; Anura; Ranidae. The record is from RNAcentral.